GACGAACGCUGGCGGCGUGCUUAACACAUGCAAGUCGAACGGUGAACCUCUUCGGACUGGAUCAUUGACGAACGGGUGAGUAACACGUGGGUAACCUUCCCCCUGCUCUGGGAUAACUCCAAGAAAUUGGGGCCAAUACUGGAGGUUCACCGCUUCCCGCAUGGGUGGGGGUGGAAAGGGUUUCCGGCUGGGGAUGGGCCCGCGGCCUAUCAGCUUCUUGGGGGGGGAGUGGCCUACCAAGGCGACGACUGGUAACCUGCCUGGGAAGGUGACCACGCACACGGGUACUGCGACACGGAGCAGUCUCGUACGUGAGGCAGCAGUGGGGAGUAUUACGCAACCGGGCCAAGUCUGACAAGGAGACGCCGCGUGGGGGAAGCAGGCCUUCGGGUUGUAAACCUCAUUAAGCAGGGACGAAGCGGAUGUGACGGUACCUACAGAAGAAGCACCGGCUAACUACGUG
This 463-nucleotide ribosomal RNA is filed under the name uncultured bacterium. Its description in RNAcentral is "partial 16S ribosomal RNA". It matches the Rfam family "Bacterial small subunit ribosomal RNA", at positions 28 to 507 of the family's 1533-position model. The record is from RNAcentral.